GGUUCUGCUUGGAUGAUGCUUUCCCGACCUUUUAUGGAAUAUUGCCUAUGGGGUUGGGACAAUCUCCCAAGGAUAGUCCUCAUGUAUUAUGCGAACUUCCUCUCUUCUCCUGAGGGGUAUUUCCACACAGUGAUCUGCAAUGCUGAGGAGUUCAAGAACACUACUGUUAACCAUGAUCUUCACUUCAUAUCUUGGGACAACCCACCGAAGCAACACCCACAUUUUCUUACUGUUGAUGACUACCAGAGGAUGGUUGACAGCAAUGCUCCAUUUGCAAGGAAAUUUGGCAAGAAUGACCCGGUUCUUGACAAGAUUGAUUCUGAGAUUUUGGGUCGCAUGGCUGAUGGGUUUGUACCAGGUGGGUGGUUCAGCAAUGAAGGAGAUGCAAAUGGGACCAUCCCUGAUAAUAUCAAAACAAACACCACUGAACUUAAGCCUGGUCCUGGUGCUCAAAGGCUCAAGCAUCUGAUCACCAAUCUUUUGUCUGCAGAAAAUUUUCACUCAACUCACUGCAUCUGACUUGGUGAUAUUCUGAUGUCCAGAGAAACAAUGACGCAGAAAGGCACCAUUUUUACUUUGUCAUUGAUGGAUCCUUUCCAUUGGUAACAGAAGACUGCUAAUGGGACAAAUAACAAGACUAUAGGAACAAAUGGGUGAAGGAAAACAAUGUGUCGUCUGAAGUAUAUGUUAUACACAUAUUUUUGUAGCUCAAUAUACCUGGAUAGGCCAAAUGUAUAUCAUUUAUAAAAUGUCAGCCAUUCAUGCUUUAAAAAUAUGUGUAUAACAUAUA
Molecule: unclassified non-coding RNA, 790 nt
Filed under: Hevea brasiliensis (rubber tree)
Lineage: Eukaryota; Viridiplantae; Streptophyta; Magnoliopsida; Malpighiales; Euphorbiaceae
Source: RNAcentral